This 782-nucleotide long non-coding RNA is filed under the name Zea mays. RNAcentral's name for it is "long non-coding RNA (ZMAY_LNC005289)". The record is from RNAcentral. Lineage: Eukaryota; Viridiplantae; Streptophyta; Magnoliopsida; Poales; Poaceae.
AGACAAUAUGAAUUAUCCAAAUAGUGUGCAACAACAGAAAUGUAACUAGUCUUUUGAUGUGAUGAAGUCCAAAUAUCUGAAGUUAAAGCAAACGAAAACUGAACUUUUUUAAAAUUUUCUUUAAGAACAACAAGUUGUUUCUGAUACUGAGCAAUAAUUUCUUCACGAGCUAAUUGUGGAUUGUAAACCCAAGUACUUACAAUGCCGUCCGCAGCAAAGUUUAGUUGAGUUUGCAUACCUGCACCAAAAGUUUGCCCUGCCUUUUUUAAACAAGCUUUGAAGUGUCGAUUCAAAUGCCCAGUGCCACCAGCAGAAUCUGCACUCAACUCAUUUUUACAAUAGUGACAUAUAGCAAUAUAACUUUUUAUACCAUCCUCGAUAAUCUCCCGCUUAUCCAUAUGCUUCCAGCAUUCUGCCCAAGAAACAGAUGGUUUAGCACCCUUUACUGGCACAUCAACACCAAUAUCCCCAUCUGCUGGUAAGGAACUAGAACCAGACUCAGCCCCUCUACUACCAUCUACUAGUACUAGUAAUGAAAAGGAACUAAAACCAGAUACAGGCUCAGUGCCACCACAAUCUGUUAGUACUCGUAAGGAGGGACUACAAACAGGUCGAGACCCAGGGACUUCAAUGGUAGGGGAGAAUUCACUAGAAAUAGGAUUGUUGGAAUCAUCUGUCCUACUACUACAAAAAGCUUUUCUACCAGCUACCCUCUUCCUCCCCAUUGUAGAGCAAAUGAAUAGGAUUCACUAGAAAUAGGAUUGCUGGUAAGGAAUCUAGCA